UACGAAGGGGGCUAGCGUUGUUCGGAUUUACUGGGCGUAAAGCGCACGUAGGCGGACUUUUAAGUCAGGGGUGAAAUCCCAGAGCUCAACUCUGGAACUGCCUUUGAUACUGGAAGUCUUGAGUAUGGUAGAGGUGAGUGGAAUUCCGAGUGUAGAGGUGAAAUUCGUAGAUAUUCGGAGGAACACCAGUGGCGAAGGCGGCUCACUGGACCAUUACUGACGCUGAGGUGCGAAAGCGUGGGGAGCAAA
This 249-nucleotide ribosomal RNA is filed under the name uncultured Ochrobactrum sp. RNAcentral's name for it is "partial 16S ribosomal RNA". It matches the Rfam family "Bacterial small subunit ribosomal RNA", at positions 524 to 772 of the family's 1533-position model. The record is from RNAcentral. Lineage: Bacteria; Pseudomonadati; Pseudomonadota; Alphaproteobacteria; Hyphomicrobiales; Brucellaceae.